UUCCACAUAAACAAUCUUCUAAUACUCACAUGAAAAGACAGAUGGAUUUUCAAGAUGUACUAUUAAGUGAAUGGUUGAGCAUUCCUAAUUGGAAAAAUCCGAAAUCCAAGAUGCUCCAAACUCUGAAACUUUUUGAAUUCUAACAUGAUGCCACAAGUGAAAAACUCCACACCUAAUACUUGUUUUCUAAUGAUUCAAGGUACACAAAUUUUAUUUAAUGCACAAAAUUAUUAAAAAUACUGUAUACUACACUGUUUUUGUUUAACUUGUGGACAAAGACUUAUGGUUAGGUGCAAAAAAUAAAUCCUCUUUUGCAACCCAGAACUCAUUGUUCAGUAUGAGUUUUGAUACAUAUAAGAAGGUGUUGCAGGAAGUCAGGGACCCCAAACGGAGGAACCGGCUGAAGCCAUGACAGAAGAACGUGGAUUAUGAAGAUUUUAUGGACAUUUAUUAGUUCCCCAAAUUAAUAUUUUUGUAAUUUCUUAUGCCUGUCUUUACUGCACUCUCUAAACAUAAAUUGUAAAGAUUUCAUGGACACUUAUCACUUCCCCAAUCAAUACCCUUGUGAUUUCCUAUGCCUGUCUUUACUUUAAUCUCUUAAUCCUGUCAGCCGAGAAGGAUGUGUAUCGUCUCAGGACCCUGUAAUAAUUGCGUUAAGUACACAAAUUGUACAGCAUGUGUGUUUGAGCAAUAUGAAAUGUGGGCACCCUGAAAAAAGAACAGGAUAACAGCAAUUGUUCAGGGAAUAAGAGAGAUAACCUUAAACUCUGACCGCCGGUGAGCCGGGCAGAACAGAGCCAUAUUUCUCUUCUUUCAAAAGCAAAUGGGAGAAAUAUUACUGAAUUCCUUUUCUCAGCAUGGAAAGUCCCUGAGAAAGAGAAUGCGCACCUAGGGGUAGGUCUCUGAACUGGCCCCCCCGGGGCAUACCUGUCUCUUAUGGUCGAGAUUGCAGAGGUGAAAUAAACUCCAGUCUCCCAUAGCGCUCCCAGGCUUAUUAGGAAGAGGAAAUUCCCGCCUAAUAAACUUUGGUCAGACUAGUUGAUCUCAAAACCCUGUCUCCUGAUAAGAUGUUAUCAAUGACAAUGGUGCCCGAAACUUUAUUAGCAAUUUUAAUUUCGCCUCUGUCCUGUGGUCCUGUGAUCUCGCCCUGCCUCCACUUGCUUUGUGAUAUUCUAUUACCCUGUUAAGUACUUGACGUCUGUCACCCACAACUAUUCGCACACUCCCUCCCCUUUUGAAAAUCCCUAAUAAAAACUUGCUGGUUUUUGUGGCUUGUGGG
This is a long non-coding RNA of Homo sapiens (human), 1279 nucleotides long. Lineage: Eukaryota; Metazoa; Chordata; Mammalia; Primates; Hominidae. The record is from Ensembl.